ACCUGACAGCACCAUGUGGCUCAAACUCACAACUCAGAGCUGCGAAUGAGCCAUCGCGCUUCAGGCAUUGAUAUUAAAUAGAAACAGUUUAAGCAAAUCAGUACCAUUUUCAUUUGACUUUAAAAGCUCACCACUCAAAUCAAGGGCAGCGUAAAAAAGUUACCAUUACUGCAGUGCAGGCUAGACAGCAAAGACUGCGAAACUAGACCAAAGCCUAAGAGGUCUAACAAGCCCUGAUUUCCAGGGCUCAAAGUCACAUAAACACAGCAACAACAACAACAUGAAACUACAUUUGGAGUCUCUAAAACAUUCUGAGUUUUUAAAACUCAGGUUCAUGGCACAACCAUCUUUCCAUAAAUAAUUUCUGUAUUCAAAGCUGGAUGUAUCGCUGCAUCAACACUUCCAUGUCUAACACAUGGAAUACUUUCUUUGAAGAUUAUUUUUACAGUUCUAGUAAAGAAGUGGAAAUUGAUCAUAAAGGUGGUAGUUUUCUUCUUUUAAAUACAUUGCUUGGGAACUACCCUUAAAACCAUUUCUUGUUAUUUUUAGGAAUAAGUGAUUUGUCCACACAUCAAUAAAUUAUUAUGAAAGGGGUGUGGUGUGGGUGUGUGGGUGCGUCCAUCCAUCCGUUCCCACAUCCCAACAUUCAUUAAGCUAAAAUUUCUGAAAAUGAAAACUGUCAGGACCAGGAGAUGGGUGGGGAUGUGCAGUACACAAAACAAUGCAGAGACUCAAAUAGAAUUUUUUGCCUAUUUACUGUUCUUCCCCUCCCCUGAAGAUAAAUAAUUUAAUGGAUUGUCCUAUUAAGCUUAUAGAUAAAAAAGGAGGAGCUGCUAACUUCUGAUCCUGGUUAAAACCAGUUGUCUGUUUCUGUGCAGAAACAGAGGUGGCUGCUCACUGCAGAGUUACUGACAGAACUCCAAGCACCUUCGCUUGCUCAUAUUUAGACCUACAGAGCCCAGACAUGCUCCUCACAGUCAGACUUCUUUUUUCCAUGUAGUAUUUUGGCAGUAUCUUUCACACUGGUUUAAUUUCAAGAGUAGUCCUAGCAGAGGCAAGGAGACAUGCUUUCCUGGAUGAAUCCACACUGUGCAGCAGUACACAAGAUGAACUCAAAGGCUUAUUUUUAGAGUCUAAUUCUUACAGAGAAACAAUAUCAUCCACUACGUUUUCACUUCCCUUUCAUGCUUCAUUGGCAUUAACUCAUUUGUUAAUAAUGUCCAUCUGUGAUGGUCCAUUUUUAUCCUCAUAAAUUUCACGGCAGAUUACAGGCUUUUAGGGAGCUCUCUAAACUUUAGCUUCCUUACAGAGAAAAGUUUUACCCACACUCUGACAUUACUUGCAUUCUGACAAGUGAAGCUGCAGCACGUGACACUACUCUGCAUCUGUGUGUCCCAACCAGAAAGGAGCAGCCAUGACACCCAGAAGUCUCGUGAAUGCAGCCACAGCCACGGAGGGUAGUGCUGACAGAGCAGCCACCACUCACCACAGCUACACCAAGGGUAAGGAAGCGUGCUCCUGCCUUCUAUGUGCUAGCUGCUGCAUGGAUGUUAAGAGAAUGAAGUUUGCAGAACCAUGAGUCUCCUACCUUUCAGGAUCUCUAGACUAAAUAAACAGCAGAGUUGGAAGAGGAAGGGGAGAAAAGCAGAUAAAGCCAUUCCCAGUCCAGUGAGGAAGAUUCACUGCAGAACUACAGCAGCAAGUGGAUUACCAAAAUAUGUUAAUUCAGUGCUUGGAGCCAGAUACCCAACCAGGGCAAAAAACAAAACACAGAAAAUUUCAAGACACUGAGAUCAUCACUACUCUUUAUCAUGACCAAAAAGAAAAGGAAAAAAAAAAAUCAAUUCCAAACAAAAAGAAGCUGCCUUGCUGACAGGACUCAGAAAGGAAACAAGCUAUGUAUAGCUCUCCAAGUGCACAGUGUGGCACAAUCAUCCUGAACUGUAAUUUUUCAUCAAGUUUUUAAUAAUCAGUUGGCACAGGAAAGUUUGAUUUUCUUCAUAAAGCCUGAAUUUCUUCCUGUCCUAGUGAAUGUUUAACAAUCCUGUGGUGAUACUAUGUUCAGAAGUCACGCAUGGUACAUUGGUUUAAUAACUCUGUCUUUGGGAUACAAGAUGGCAUGUCAUAUCCAAUCUACCACAGAAGCCACUUCAGUCAGGUGGAAACAGGCAUUGAUAGGAAUGUGGAUUUGCAAAAUGACUGCACUAUUGCACUGUGCCUCAUUUGACUGCUUUAUUGAACUUCAAGUCUUCCACCAAGUAGCCCAGACUUCAAUUAUCUACACUAAGAAGAAUGGCUACCGAUCAAUAAAAGGCAAAGAGAAAGCAGGAGUCAUGCAGUGCAUGCAUAGGCUUCGCUCCCUGUUUGUAUAUAACUGUACAGACAGGACUUAAGGUUUUAUUUUUACUCUCCUCCCUCCCCCCUUUUCCCUUCCUCACUGUUUCAAAGUACCACAUUUAGUGAAGGCUGUUCAUUGCAUAUACCUUUGUCCAGAAGACAAGCAGUAAAUAAGGCCAGUACAGAAAGGUUGCCUUGUCCCCUUGCAGGAUAAGGCACUGUAUGACUGAUUCCCCCACCUCACCUCUGAAUAAAAUUCCUUUUCCAGUGUCAAGAGUUUUAUGCAUGUUUUUCAAAGUCUCACAUUCAAGGUACUACAGAAAUCUUUGGAAACCAUUCACCCUUUGUACUCUCUCACUACUGUCACCAAGCUCUACAAGGACAUAAGCACUGUAUCUCGUACUCCCUCAGAGUACUCACAAAGAGGAAGCAAGACAGUGUCAUCUCUUCCAAGGUCCUACCUCUCCACCAUGCUCACUCUUCCCGAUUUCUUCCAGCUUACUGCAGUACUUCUCUCUGCGUAACACACACUUAAUGUGAAAACAUGACAGGUAUAGCAGAAUAAACUGUGCAACAUUAUUAUGAUGCGCUGACAAGAUCAAAAUUAAAAACAGACUUUAAAUUUAUCAUAUGCCACAAACUAUAUCAACUAUAUUAAUCCAAUACAUGCUCUUACUAUAAACUGGUACCUCCUCAAAAGGGUGAGCUUCAAUUGAUCAGUCAAAUUUUUUCUGCUCAGCAAGCAAACAUAGCUAAACCAAUUCAUCCUUGUUGGGAAUGGGAAAUUAAAGGACUAACAAUGUUUUUUUUCUAACACACAGAUUGGCAACUUGUCAAGAAAUAAUACAUCUAUUGUAUGUUCAGGGUAAUUUUAUCAAAUUAGUCUUACUUCACCAUUUCCUCUUUCCCUACUCAUAUAAUUACAAACAUGACACAGUAGACAUUAGAGUAAAUUCAAAGCAAAACCAACACAACCAUUGAAAAUUCUAUAAAUUCCAUACAUGACUACAAAAACCUCAACCCCUCCAAAACUGUUCUUACAAACAGUAUUUCUACCAUCUGGAUGGGCUUACCACCCCCACCCCAGUUCGGCAUUAACUCUACUCUUAAAAGAAAAUCCUACCUCAUCCGUUUUUUUAGAAUGACAUUUGCCAAUUUCAAGUAAAAUGUCUAUUAAACUCUGUUUCAACUAAGUUGCCUAUCCAGUGUCAGGGUCAAUACAAACUUACAGAGCUCAACUUUAAACUUCUUGCAAGAGAAGGCUGAAAUCAAGCUGCAGAAAGACUAAGAAAACGCUGGCCAGACCCCACAGGAGUGUGUAAGAGGUAUCCCUGCCCUGCAGUUCCAAUCUACUUUGACAGGAACAAGGAGUUUAGCUUAGAGGAUAGCAUCUAUGUUCUCUGCUCAUCCUCUGUUCUUUUCUGUUUCUCUUUUGUUCUCAUCUCCUAUGUAUGCAGUAAGAACCGGAAAAUAUUCAUAUGGAAUUGAUAAUUGACCUACUGGAAUUCAAAUAUUUACCAUAGCGGAAUCAGUCAUGCAGUGCUUUUUCCUGCAAGCAAUCAUAUAUUCCCAGCAUAGAUAACAUUUUCGCGUAUAAAUAAGGCCACAUAUCAUUGCUGCUUGUACUUGGAAAGUAUCACACUUUCAGCUGUAGCAGCUAUGAAAAAAAAAUAAUAAAAUACACACGCAGUGCACCAAAACCCACCGAAACCUUCAGGCUUUCAGGCUAAAGUUUUUAAGUUAAAGAGACUUUUCACAUGCUUAAAGUCAUGCUUGUGCACAAAUAUCUGCAGAUGUAAAAACUCAUUCAGUACUGCUGUAAAUCAUGUAAGAGACUACCACCUAUAAGCACUGAUGCUGCAAAGCCAAUUUAUAUUAGUUCUGGUUCUGACCAAGCCACUCCACAGAAAUAUUCCAAUUGUUUGUACCGUUUAAAUUAUCUCUGUCAGACACCUAAAAGCAUUUGUGGUUCACCCCAUUUCAACGUAAGGUGUCAUGCUAUGCCAAAACACUUCAGUCCUCACAGAGGGAAAUGGCAUAUCAGUGACUAUUUCUUUCAGCAUGGAACAAGCAAUAGUGGAAAGUGCAAACCAAUUUAAAUUAACAGAAGGGAUUCACAUCAUGGCACGCAGUUGUCCAUUAACAGAACAAACCCCUGUCCCCCUCCCUUUCUCCAGUUGGCAAUUGCAGCAAAUCUUCCAUGAAAAUACAUUUCCUGUAAUGUUCUGGUCAUGGUUGGCAAGAGCUGCAACCCAUUUCCAUAAAGCCACCAUGCGGAAAAUUGCCUUGGCUGUUAAAAUGGACUAAUGCAAAGGAAUUAUUUUUUUUAAUGUUGAAGGCAUCAAUCCUUUUUAAAAAAAUCCCUCCAGUUUCCAGAAUAUUAACUGGUCACCCACCAGCAAUAAGGUAGAGCCCUGAAACUAGAAAUAAAGCAAAUCAAAGAGUUUUAAAGAAAAUAAGAGAACAAACCCUUCACCCAAUUAUCACUUACAGACCGUUAACCCAGCAAACACAGUAAGAAGACUGAAGGAACUUUGCAACAGCAACUGGGCUCUCACCAGAGUAUAAUUCUCCUGCUGCAACUGCUAAUCAACACGAUUCCACAGUAUCGGUUUGCCCCCCAAAAAGUUAAAUCCUGAGUGUGCAGGCAAGCAACCGUGUAUCACAGGUCAAGUCAGAUUGUGAAAACAAAGAUGUAUUAAGGUUUUCAGGACUGAAAUCUAAUUCUCUGAUAUUCUCAGUAAAUUCUGUCUUUACCUGGUGCAAAUAACUUCAGCUCUCAGUGGACUUGCACCGACCCUACUGCCCACUCUUGCCCUGCAGGGCAGAUUUAAGUCCAUAACACUUACUUACAUCUAUCAAAGCCCUCUCUUACACUGUUUCUGCAUGCAUGACCGCAACAGAUCCCUCUUGCAUGCUUCCCUCCCUCAACUUCUCAGCUGUGCUGGACCAAGGAGGUGACACACAGACUUGGUACACAGGGUGAGGGCCUGCAGCUUGCACUGUCCAGAACCUUUGGUUGCCCAAGGCACAUUAUGCAGAGUUCAAGGAGCUUUGCAUUCUCUCUCUAACUGGAAAAAUCCCUCAAACUUUGGGGUGUUACAAGAUUAAAAGCUGAGAAAUGAGACUGCCUGAUCUGGAGAAAAUUACAAAUAGGUACACAAGUAGAAUAUUCUUGCACAUCAAAAGCAUAACAAAUACAGUGCUACUAUCAUUGUGUAGUUACAAAAAAAGCUCAGAAAGCUUAUGAUGAGAACCUUGAAGUGCAGGACAGCAGUGGUAUUACUGAUACCAUUUGCAAAACUGGAAAGUGAGAAAGAGAAACUUUUAAGGAAAACAUUUAGCAAGUUCAAUAUGAUGAAACUGAAAACCUGAAAUCUCUGGACAGGCAUCGCUUGCAAAGCAUCUGCUGGAAGCUUGGGAACUUCUCAAAAUCAGGCCAAAGGUGUCUCAGUCUGGGCCCUAUAUUAUAGCUAUAUUAAAAAUAAGCAUGCUUUUGAAGAUAUAAGGCUUGUGCCAGAAGCUCAAGGCUUCACAAAACUAAAAUAGAUCAGAAAAUAGGUCCUAGAAAUCCUUAAUCCUGAGGUGCUAUUAUAGUAGCAGGUCAAUUUUGGAUUACUUUACAAUAAGGAAAGGUAAAGAUUAUUAUAAGUCUUAAGAAAGUGUCAUCAAAGCGAAAGUAGGAAAUACAUUUUUAAAGAAAUUAAAUAUCUAUGAUUAAAAUAGCUGAUAGAGCGCAGAAAAAUAUUAAGUUAGUGAGCAUAUAAGAUCUCUGAAAUACAAACAUUUUUGUGAUACAUUUCCUGACUAUUAAAUUCUCAUUGCUGUGGUUCCAAGCUCAAAACUGUGCCUAAAGCAAUACAUCUAGAAAUACAACCAUGAGCUUUCCAGUUUUGUCCUUGCUUGCCCAAGUAAGAAAUGAAGAGGUAUCUCAACUGUAUCUACAUGAACAUAAAAGCUACUUUAUGAUGUUCUUCUGUCUUCAAACUUCAUUGGUUUCUUUUCUGGAAAAAGAACUCCAUCAUAUUACAACCUUUCUUCAAUCCUGAGAGGCAGCAAGGUAAAGAAACACGAGGAAAGGAACAGAGGAGCACCCUGUGUGCACGUAUAUUGUACAUGCAAUCAGAGCGCGGUAAUGUUUUGCUGCUGUGUGUAGUUAACAGCUGCAUAUGUAUUUCAGAGUAUAGAAAAUGCAGUUAAAAGGGUGCAUGAGAAAAUCUACAUAAUGCUGAUUUCUUUCUGAUUAAUUUUGUUUUCUAUUUGUCAUACUCACUACACAAAGAUUUAGCGGAUGCAGGGUCAGCGAGCAGCUAGAGUAUCUUUAAAGAAAAGUCUCACCUUUCCUACUCAGCCGUGCUUCCCAUAACCGCCCUGUUAGCUGUCUACCUGAUUUACGAUUCCCACACUGCCUCUGAGAUUAAAGUAUGACGGUUUGUUUGCAUUUCUACUUAGGCUGGUUAUUUUUUGCCCUUCCUCCAACUUCAGACAAAACCCUGCAAACGACAGGUCUACAGGUCCAACGCUCAUUUCAAAAAGGUACAUACCAUUGCGCUAAGAGGGCUCCUACUCAUCCUCUCCCUGCAUUUCCACCAUACGACAGAGCUGAGAGAAUAAGCACUCUGAAACUGCCAGAGAGUUUCAACCAAGCUGAAAACAAUCAUGGAUUUUGCCUGACAAAGCAGCUGCUAGGUACUUUUGAAAAGACUGCCUCCCGGUCACACUGGCAGUUCACGUCGGACAGAGAAGUAACUCACUGGUCACACACAGUUACUUAAUACCACAGGGGUAGAAGAAGAGAAAUUCCAGUUUAAUGGAAAUGAGGUCCCUUGACAUUUGCGAAGGAGAAGAACCCAGUAACAACAGGCAGGUUCUGCAUGAAAAAUAAUAUUAAUAUUAUGUAACAGACAGCCUAGGUGUCACGAACAGGACCAGCACCUCAGUUGUCUAUGGCAUAUGCAUUUCUGCCCCCAUUUCUUUUUUGACCUAGGCAGGAGCCUGACUUUUCCUCUGGAAAAACCAGCCCACUGCUCAGCCAGCAUCUCUUCCCUCUUAGGGUUAGUUGGGUCCAGCAGAGCUGUUGAGACCAUUUGUUGAAAGGGACACUUCAGCUGUGGAACUUACAACUUCUAACACUGUAAACAAAACCUCAGCUCUGAAUGCAUCAAUAGACUCCAGCCUCAUAUUUAAAGCAGUGUUACAAAUGGUCGGUGCUAUGCUACGUUCUGCAAAUCCAUGACUAAACAUUCUUGUCUCUCGCUUAUCUUCCAGUGCUCAUAAACAAGAAAAAAACAGUCACAGGAGCAGGUUAAAGCUAUAUUAGGUUACAGCAGCUGGAGAAUUCAAGUCAAAAGACAGUUGCCUCCACAGUCAUGCACACACACUUUCUAUAGGCUUUUACUGGCAAACCUGCUGAACUUCUCUUCAAAACUAAAGCAUUUUGCAAGAAGUCUCUGAAAUAAGACAUUUCUUUGUUAAUGAAACUGGUUGUUAAAAAAGAAGGCAGUUAUAAACUUGGGCACAUCUUAUUCAGUUUCAUUGCAACAUUCUAAUGCAACCCAAAACUUAGUCAGGACUCAUUUUAGUUUGCUCUGACACACAUAUAGGAACAGAGCAAAAAAGCAGGUUGGACAGUGGAGAUUUCAGUUUCUUCAGCAGCUGCUCAGUUUUUAUUACAUUUAGGAAAUACGUACUGUGCAGAAAACGUUAGGCCAAAUGGGUGCUUGGAUUCCUGUCUUUUCUGCCCACUCCCUCAAGUCUUUUGCAGCUCUGUGGUUUUUAAAGAUGAACCAUAGUUCCUGGGAGGGUAAAAGAAUGUGGUAAACUUGCUACUGGCUGGUUGCUAUUUCCAAGCUCCCUGAGUGUACACCUGUUAUUGCACCGCUGGAAAAUGCCUGUGUUCCCACGCAGGAAGUUAACUGAUGCAGCUCCCCCAAAGCAAAGUGCAUUUUCUACGCAGGUAACUUGUGGGUCCAGAAUAAGUGCAUUAGCUCUUGUAUGUUUAGUGCCAACAUUUGUUAUAAAUAUUUGCAAGGCUAUAGACGCUUCUGUAUACCAAGUGCACCCAUUUUUGGACAGUCAAAAAUAAAUUACCAUGCAUGAAAAAUUCAUAUAUAUUCAACUGAGUCUUGGGAAACUUCUGCAA
Molecule: long non-coding RNA, 8479 nt
Organism: Falco peregrinus (peregrine falcon)
Lineage: Eukaryota; Metazoa; Chordata; Aves; Falconiformes; Falconidae
Exons: 3
Source: RefSeq, a predicted model, not a curated record